Long non-coding RNA from Homalodisca vitripennis (glassy-winged sharpshooter), 624 nucleotides. RefSeq lists it as uncharacterized. Lineage: Eukaryota; Metazoa; Arthropoda; Insecta; Hemiptera; Cicadellidae. The record is from RefSeq and is a predicted model, not a curated record. The transcript has 2 exons.
UUCAAUAACGUUUUAUGGACUUGAGUGCCAAAAAAUGUUUUUGUUUCACUGAAAAACAUUAUAACUUGGCGUAUAUGAUGUAUAUGAUGCUGCAGCCACUGUCAACAAAGGUAAUAUUACAAAAUAGUUUAAAAAAACUAGGUAUACCUGCGGGGAAGGAAUGUGCUGAAAUACUAUGAAACAUGGACAUACAAAGAAUUACUGAAGACUGAAAAACAAAUUUUAGAACUGCAAAAUAAGGAUCGUCAUUCAAAAGCAUCCGCUUAAAAGAAGCUGGAGGGAUAAGAUCCUGACAAUCCAUUCUAUGCAUCUGAACACUAUUAGAGCUUACCAAUAGGGUGGAUGGUCCUAGAGAAAUAUUGAUACAAAGGUGAGAGUUCACGAGGCUAAGAACUGGACAAUAUGGAAUCUAUAAGUGCUGACAGUAUCCUUAUGACAGACUAAUAAACUAAAUGGUCCAAAGAGUUGCAAGCUCAGUAAGGACUUUCCAACCCUAAUUACUGGAGGGUGAUUGGGAGAUUUCAGAGGCUGAGAUCUCCUAGACAUCAUGGCUUCUUUAUAUUGAUUGUACUCACAUCUCUGAUACUAAAUAAUAAACCUGGUGGUCCAGGAAUUGCAAGCUUA